Molecule: ribosomal RNA, 234 nt
Filed under: uncultured bacterium
Lineage: Bacteria
Description: partial 16S ribosomal RNA
Rfam family: Bacterial small subunit ribosomal RNA
Source: RNAcentral
UGGGUGAUCUGCCCUGCACUUUGGGAUAAGCCUGGGAAACUGGGUCUAAUACCGGAUAUACCCUGCUGGUCGCAUGGCCUGGUGGGGGAAAGCUUUUGCGGUGUGGGAUGGGACCGCGGCCUAUCAGCUUGUUGGUGGGGUGAUGGCCUACCAAGGCGACGACGGGUAGCCGGCCUGAGAGGGUGUCCCGGCCACACUGGGACUGAGAUACGGCCCAGACUCCGUACGGGAGCA